GCUCUGUCUCCCAGGCUGGAGUGCACUGGCGCAAUCUUGGCUCACUGCAACCUCCACCUCCCAGCUUCGAGUGAUUCUUCUGCCUCGGCCACCCAAGUAGCUGGGACUACAGGUCUUGUGAAGGUGCAGUGACACAAUGUGCAUGAAAGAGGCUCGAGCAGGACCUGAUGCACAACCUCCUGCUCCAGAUGCCUGGCUUCUCCAGGGCACCCCGAUGGGUGGCUCUGCCACCCCAGGACACUGGACUGGGGCCACCCUUACAGAACCGGUUCGAAGCCAAACAAUGGCACGUCACAGUCCAGCUGAGCCGGAGGCCUCAGCAGGGUAAGUACAAGUGAGGCUGUGGCCAAGAGGGGCAUAGGUGCCAGGGACUCAGAGGCGGGCGCGCGCAAGUGCCAGCAAGCCCUCACUGCCUAACAUGGCAGCCCCAUGGCUUCCUCUCUUCCCCGUGACCUGACUGCAGCUUUGAGGACAGCACUUGCCCUCCCCUCCCAGGCAGCGGGCCCCUUCCCUGGCCCCAGAGGUGAAGGAGGGCGACUUCCCCAGGGAGAGGAAGCAGAAUGACGGCCUGCAGCUUUCCUGCCGCGGGAGGGGAACUUCAGGUCAGAAUGGCCGUCUCAACCUCAUGGAAGCCUCCCUCUGGACUGACGAGUGACCGCUGUUGUGGUGGGAGGUCCACCUUCCCGCAAAGGGAGCCAAGAGCCCAGAGGGGUCACUUGGGCCCAGGGAGGGUGGGACACAGACGUCUGGGUGGAAGUUGGACAAAGUCUGGCAGAAUGGGGCACCAGGGCACAGUAAGACCCUGGCUGGGACACUGAGUGGGGACAGUCCCCAGCAAUUCCCUUGGAGAUAAAGAGCCUGCGGCAGGUCCCAGAUCCUGACAGAGGACAGACAGGAGGGGACAAGCUGGUGGUGGGGGUGAGCUGGCUAGGCAGAAAGCUC
RNAcentral lists this long non-coding RNA (942 nucleotides) under Homo sapiens (human). Its description in RNAcentral is "non-protein coding lnc-WFIKKN2-4:1". Lineage: Eukaryota; Metazoa; Chordata; Mammalia; Primates; Hominidae. The record is from RNAcentral.